UACGUAGGGGGCGAGCGUUGUCCGGAUUCAUUGGGCGUAAAGAGCUCGUAGGCGGUUUGGCAAGUCGGGUGUGAAAUCUCUGGGCUCAACUCAGAGAGGCCACUCGAUACUGCUAUGACUAGAGUCCGGUAGGGGACCAUGGAAUUCCUGGUGUAGCGGUGAAAUGCGUAGAUAUCGGGAGGAACACCAGUGGCGAAGGCGGUUCUCUGGGACGGUACUGACGCUGAGACGCGAAAGCGUGGGGAGCGAACAGG
Molecule: ribosomal RNA, 254 nt
Filed under: uncultured bacterium
Lineage: Bacteria
Description: partial 16S ribosomal RNA
Rfam family: Bacterial small subunit ribosomal RNA
Source: RNAcentral